GUGAACAGACCCGGUGUGGGAGAGGGGUUUCAGAUUAAAUCAAGACCUGAAGAAAUAAAUAAACAGACCAGUGUCUCGUGCUCACAGUGGCAUUGAUCGGACAGUACAGCCGGACUCACGCGCUGGGAACGCGCGCGGUCUUUGUUCGCGCGCGCACGUGUGUGGCGUGGAAUUAAACCUCAAAUCCCAGAGCGCGCGCGUCCCAUUGGUCAGACUCAGUGCACAGGGUGGAGAAGACUUCACUCCGCACACUGAGCUCACAGGCGCGUGGGAUACAGCCGGAGUCUCUCCAGUCUCUCUCCACCAGCCUCCAUCAGAGCCUCCAUCAGCCUCCAUCAGAGCCUCCAUCAGCACGCUGUGGACUAGUUCUCUUUCUUCUACAACCCGCACAUUUCUCUCUCCAGGACCCUACUCAGAGUUUACUAGAAGAAGGGAGAGGUGAUGUGAAACGAUGAGACUGUAAGGAGAUAACCAGGCGAGAAGAGAGAGAGAGAGAGAGAGAGAGAGAGAGAGAGAGAGAGAAAGAGAGAUGGAGGAAAGGGCACAGGUUUGACUGACAGCAGAAGGAAAGUUAUCAGUGUGACAGUGAGAAAAGAGUGAGAUACUGCGUGUUACUGCGCGUUAUUGUAGUGUGUGUGGUGUUAGUGUAGUGUGUGUUUUUACUGUGUGUGUUAGUGUAGUGUGUGUGGUGUUAGUGUAUAGUGUUGCAUAGUGUAUAGUGUUACUGUAGUGUGUU
Ictalurus punctatus (channel catfish) is the source of this 736-nucleotide long non-coding RNA. The record is from Ensembl. NCBI's taxonomy places the organism in Eukaryota, Metazoa, Chordata, Actinopteri, Siluriformes, Ictaluridae.